Molecule: ribosomal RNA, 1486 nt
Filed under: uncultured Bordetella sp.
Lineage: Bacteria; Pseudomonadati; Pseudomonadota; Betaproteobacteria; Burkholderiales; Alcaligenaceae
Description: partial 16S-23S ribosomal RNA intergenic spacer
Rfam family: Bacterial small subunit ribosomal RNA
Source: RNAcentral
GUUCGAUUCUGGCUCAGAUUGAACGCUGUGGGAUGCUUUACACAUGCAAGUCGAACGGCAGCACGGACUUCGGUCUGGUGGCGAGUGGCGAACGGGUGGAGUAAUGUAUCGGAACGUGCCUAGUAGCGGGGGAUAACUACGCGAAAGCGUAGCUAAUACCACAUACGCCCUUCCGGGGAAAGCGGGGGACCUUCGGGCCUCGCACUAUUAGAGCGGCCGAUAUCGGAUUAGUAGUUGGUGGGGUAACGGCUCACCAAGGCGACGAUCCGUAGCUGAAUGGUUUGAAGGACGACCAGCCACACUGGGACUGAGACACGGCCCAGACUCCUACGGGAGGCAGCAGUGGGGUACCUGGACAAUGGAAACCUGAUCCAGCCAUCCCGCGUGUGCGAUGAAGGCCUUCGGGUUGUAAAGCACUUUUGGCAGGAAAGAAACGGCACGGGAUAAUACCCCGUGCGCUGACAGUACCUGCAGAAUGGCCAUGGCCCCACAACUACGUGCCAGCAGCGCGGUAGUACGUAGGGUGCAAGCGUUAAUCGGAAUUACUGAGCGUAAGCGUGCGCAGGCGGUUCGGAAAAGAAAGUCAUGAAAUCCCGGAAGCAACUUUGGAACUGCAUUUUUAACUACCGAGCUAGAGAGUGUGUCAGAGGGAGGUGGAAUUCCCGCGUCAGCAGGUAAGUACGUAGAUAUGCGGAGGAACACCGAUAGCGAAGGCAACCUCCUGGGAUAACACUGACGCUCAUGCACGAAAAGCGUGGGGAGCAAACCAGGAUUAGAUACCCUGGUAGUCCACGCCUAAACGAUGUCAACUAGCUGUUGGGGCCUUCGGGCCUUGGUAGGCGCAGCUAACGCGUGAAGUUGACCGCCUGGGAAGGUACAGUCAACAAGAUUAAAACUCAAAAUUGACGAGACCGCACAAGCGGUGGAUGAUGUGGAUUAAUUCGAUGCAACAUAAAAAAACCUUACCUACCCUUGACAUGUCUGGAAUCCCGAAGAGAUUUGGAGUCUCAUAAAGAGAACCAGGAACACAGGUGCUGCAUGGCUGUCGUCAGCUCGUGUCGUGAGAUGUUGGGUUAAGUCCGCAACAGAGACGCAACCCUUGUCAUUAGUUGCACCUGAGGGCACUCUAAUGAGACUGCCGGUGACAAACCGGAGGAAGGUGGGGAUGACGUCAAGUCCUCAUGGCCCUUAUGGGUAGGGCUUCACACGUCAUACAAUGGUCGGGACAGAGGGUCGCCAACCCGCGAGGGGGAGCAAUCCCAGAAACCCGAUCGUAGUCCGGAUCGCAGUCUGCAACUCGACUGCGUGAAGUCAGAGAAUCGCUAGUAAUCGCGGAUCAGCAUGUCGCGGUGAAUACGUUCCAGGUCUUGUACACACCGCCCGUCACACCAUGGGAAUUAAAGGUUUUACCGAAGUAGUUAGCUAACCGUAAGGAGGGCGAUUACACGGUAAGUUCAUGACUGGGGUACCGUCGUAACUCAGGUAG